RNAcentral lists this ribosomal RNA (468 nucleotides) under uncultured bacterium. RNAcentral describes it as "partial 16S ribosomal RNA". It matches the Rfam family "Bacterial small subunit ribosomal RNA", at positions 28 to 507 of the family's 1533-position model. The record is from RNAcentral.
GACGAACGCUGGCGGCGUGCUUAACACAUGCCAGUCGAACGGAAAGGCCCUGCUUUUGUGGGGUGCUCGAGUGGCGAACGGGUGAGUAACACGUGAGUAACCUGCCCUUGACUUUGGGAUAACUUCAGGAAACUGGGGCUAAUACCGGAUAGGAGCUCCUGCUGCAUGGUGGGGGUUGGAAAGUUUCGGCGGUUGGGGAUGGACUCGCGGCUUAUCAGCUUGUUGGUGGGGUAGUGGCUUACCAAGGCUUUGACGGGUAGCCGGCCUGAGAGGGUGACCGGCCACAUUGGGACUGAGAUACGGCCCAGACUCCUACGGGAGGCAGCAGUGGGGAAUAUUGCACAAUGGGCGGAAGCCUGAUGCAGCAACGCCGCGUGCGGGAUGACGGCCUUCGGGUUGUAUACCGCUUUCGCCUGUGACGAAGCGUGAGUGACGGUAAUGGGUAAAGAAGCACCGGCUAACUACGUG